Molecule: long non-coding RNA, 118 nt
Organism: Sphaeramia orbicularis (orbiculate cardinalfish)
Lineage: Eukaryota; Metazoa; Chordata; Actinopteri; Kurtiformes; Apogonidae
Exons: 3
Source: RefSeq, a predicted model, not a curated record
UAAUGUAAUAUAUCCUGACAUAAGGACUCAAGAAGAACAAUGUCGAGGAAAGUGGGAGAAGUGGUCUGUUUAUACAACGACAGGAUAAGGAUGAUCUUAUUGAUAACAACACUGGAGC